AGAGUUUGAUCCUGGCUUAGGACGAACGCUAGCGGCGGGCUUAAUACAUGCAAGUCGAGGGGGCAGCAAUGUCACCGGCGAACGGGUGCGUAACACGUAUGUAACCUACCUUUUACUAGAGGAUAUACCAGAGAAAUUUGGGGCAACACUCUAUAUGCACACUGACUGGCAUCAGUUAGGGUGGAAAGGCAACGGUAAGAGAUGGACAUGCGUCUGAUUAGCUAGUUGGUGAGGUAACGGCUCACCAAGGCGACGAUCAGUAACUGGUCUGAGAGGAUGAUCAGUCACACUGGCACUGAGACACGGGCCAGACUCCUACGGGAGGCAGCAGUAAGGAAUAUUGGUCAAUGGACGGAAGUCUGAACCAGCCACGCCGCGUGGAGGAAGAAGGUUCUCUGGAUUGUAAACUCCUUUUGCCGAGGGCUAAGAAACGGGUAUAUCCCGUCGUGAAAGUACUCGGUGAAUAAGCCACGGCUAACUACGUGCCAGCAGCCGCGGUAAUACGUAGGUGGCAAGCGUUGUCCGGAUUUACUGGGUUUAAAGGGUGCGUAGGCGGUUCGAAAAGUCAGUCGUUAAAGGCAGCAGCUUAACUGUUGUAAGGCGAUUGAUACUGCCGAACUUGAAUUAUUGGCAGGUUGUCGGAAUGCGUAGUGUAGCGGUGAAAUGCUCAGAUAUUACGCAGAACGCCGAUUGCGAAGGCAGAUAACUACCAAUAGAUUGACGCUGAGGCACGAAAGUGUGGGGAGCGAACAGGAUUAGAUACCCUGGUAGUCCACACUGUAAACGAUGAUAACUAGAUGUUCGGGAGUAAUCCUGAGUGUUCAAGCGAAAGCGAUAAGUUAUCCACCUGGGGAGUACGACCGCAAGGUUGAAACUCAAAGGAAUUGACGGGGGCCCGCACAAGCGGUGGAGCAUGUGGUUUAAUUCGAUGAUACGCGAGGAACCUUACCUAGGCUAGAAUGUGCGUGAAUGAUAGUGAAAGCUAUCAGUCCUUCGGGACACAAAACAAGGUGCUGCAUGGUUGUCGUCAGCUCGUGCCGUGAGGUGUUGGGUUAAGUCCCGCAACGAGCGCAACCCCUAUUGUUAGUUGCCAACAGGUUAAGCUGGGAACUCUAACAAGACUGCCUUCGCAAGGAGUGAGGAAGGUGGGGACGACGUCAAAUCAUCAUGGCCCUUACGCCUAGGGCUACACACGUGCUACAAUGGACGGUACAGAGGGCAGCUACUUAGCAAUAAGAUGCGAAUCUCACAAAGCCGUUCUCAGUUCGGAUUGGAGUCUGCAACUCGACUCCAUGAAGCUGGAAUCGCUAGUAAUCGCGGAUCAGCCAUGCCGCGGUGAAUACGUUCCCGGGCCUUGUACACACCGCCCGUCAAGCCAUGGGAGCUAGGGGUACCUGAAGUCGGUAGUCGCAAGACGCUGCCGAGGGUAAAACUGGUGACUGGGGCUAAGUCGUAACAAGGUA
Molecule: ribosomal RNA, 1463 nt
Filed under: metagenome
Description: bacterial SSU rRNA
Rfam family: Bacterial small subunit ribosomal RNA
Source: RNAcentral